This 2775-nucleotide long non-coding RNA is filed under the name Capsicum annuum. RNAcentral describes it as "long non-coding RNA (CANN_LNC015200)". The record is from RNAcentral. Lineage: Eukaryota; Viridiplantae; Streptophyta; Magnoliopsida; Solanales; Solanaceae.
CUGAAAAAUGGCAAAUUGUUUAGCCAAAAUGAAUUCUUCAUCCGACUUGCUGCAUUUAACUGGAGGCUUGACAACAAAUUUUCUUUUGUUUAGGAUAGACGGCUACUUAGGAAGUGUCCUUUGAGGAACAGUCUUUUGAGUCACAACUUUCUUUGUCUGAUGUUCUGCAACAGGAGACAACGAUCUCUUCGAUGCUUUUGAAGCAGAAAUAGGAGGGCUUUUUGUAUUCCUCAAUGAUGAUCUGCUAGGAAUAUUUGAAGAUGAAGGUACUGACUUCACUUGUUUCUGUUUCUUAUGUGGUGGAGAAGAUGCAUUAUCAAUUUUUUUCUUUCCUUUGUUUUGUCCAGUAGCUAGUGAUCUUAAAAAUCAUCAUCAGAAGAAGCAUCAUCUAAGGUUGUAUCUUCUACAACAUCUACACAAGGCAAUUGUAAAAUUGUCAUUUCUCUUGAAGUAGCUGUUAUAUUUCUGUAUACAACCUACAAAUAAUAGAUACAUUAGUGUACUAUUUUGAAUACAUGUAAAUAACUCAAUUAUAAAUGUAAUAAUGUAUUCAUAAUGUCAUAGUUACCGGAUUGUCAACAUCAGCUAACAUCCCUUCAAUGAAAGCCUCAAAAUGAGGACGUCUAUCAGUGGUCUCCCAAUUAAGUAAUCUCGGAAUUCUACGACCAUGUUUGACAUCAAUUUUUGGAUUAAUAGCAUAGCAACACUCAUAAAGCCAAACUUGCAUAGCAAGUGACAUACCAUGAAUUUUAUAGUACUGUUUCUGCGCAUCUAUCUUUUUGGAAAUAGACUUCACUAAGUCCUUAAAAGCUUUUUUACCCCAUGGGUAAUCCUUGUAUUUACCAUUCUCAACCAAAUAAAAGUGAAUCUUAGGGACAAAUAUACAAUGCUUCUCGCUAGAAAAAAUGAAGGUAUUAAUGAAAUACAAUAUAGCAAUCUUGGCAUCAUCAUCAUCAUUACCCUCACCCCAUUCUCGAUUUUCAAAACAUUUAAUCAAAGCUAAUUUUUUACGGUUUUUUGACCUCCAAAAUACCGGGAAACAAUCCAGUUAGGCUCUUUAUUUUCAAUCACAAAAGCAUCUUCAUUAGCAACACAAUUUAAUCCUGUUAUGAUUAUAAAUUCCCUAAGCGAAAAUCGAAGUGUCGAUCCAUUUACAUAUAUCACCAGGGCAUCUUUCGAACUUUCUUCCAACUCCAAAGACAUAAAGCACCUAACUAGUUAUGCUUGAACAGAACAAUCAUGCAUUUGCAUAUACACCCCAAAACAAGUCUUGCUAAACAUCUGAAACUACGUAACAGAAAAUUUUUCCUUCAAAUAUGUUAUUAUGUUAUUGUUGGAAUAACAACACAUAUGUGGUGAUUCUGAAGGAAGUUCCUUAACAUAAUAUCGCACAUUCUGCAUUUAUAAACAUACAGUAGCAUAUGAAUAUCAUACAAUGAAUAUAAAUACAAAUACAGUAGCAUAUGAAUACAAGGAAUAUGCAUACAGUAGAGAUAAACGUCAUUCAGUACACAUUAAUAGGACAAAUACACAUACAUAAAUACAUGCAUACAGUACCAUAUAUGCAUAUAACAUAUAACCAUCAUUUAGUACACAUUAACGGGACAAAUAUACCUACAUAAAUACAUGCAUAAAGUACCAAAUAUGCAUACAACAAAUAACCAUCAUUCAAUACAUUAACAGGACAAAUACACAUACAUAAAUAUAUGCAUACAAUACCAAAUAUGCAUACAUCAUAAAUGACAUUUCUAAGUUACACAUACAUAAAUAUAUGCAUACAGUACCAAAUAUGCAUACAUCAUAAAUGACAUUUCUAAGUUACUAACACUUGGCACCUAGGCCGUGUAUUUCUGGUUACUCUGAAGUUCUUGCUAUUCAAUUAAAAUGACAUACUGGAAGGAGAAUAUCUUGUUAUUUGCGAAUGAAUAUGGGAAACCACAAUUGUCAAGAUAAAACACAAUUAGAAUUGAUCAAAUACGACUACAUUCACAUAUCCAUCAGUCUAGAUUACAGAGAAGAGAAUAAAUAGAUCACCUUAACUUAUACAAAUAUAGUAUUUAGGGAAAAGAAUCACAAAACUAGAAAGCAACCGUAUUCAAAUUAAUUAUCAGAAUGAGGGUGUAAUCCAAGUUGGUGGACUUAGAGACACUCCAAGACAAAAAGCUUCAAUCUUUCCAUCUUCAAGAUUAUAAGUCACUAUAUCUACAUUAAAAUACUCAUACCAAUCAUCGGCAAAAUAUAUGUGAUUAGGUUUGACUACUGUAAACAUAGAAGUGUCAAUGGAACUUGCUCUAUUACGGCCCACAAAGAUUGCUGACUCUCCCAAGUUCUUAAUCUCCUCCUUCAAUUCACCUUUGAUUACAUCUAAUUCAAAGACUUUACAUUUAAGGGUCUUGUACCCACCCUUUCGACCAACUAUAACGUUAUUAUCGCCAAAUAAUUGGAUAAAAAGUAAUAGUGCACGGAUAGCUCAACUAGAUAGAAUUGAAGUGAGUUACGACACCACAUAUUAGCCUCCAGCCAGCGCCGCUCAAUUGGUUUAGGUUGAUAAACAACUAGAGAUACAUGCAUACAGUACCAAAUAUGCAUACAGUGCCAAAUACACAUACAACAAAUAACCCUCAUUCAGUACACAUUAAUGGGACAAAUGUACAUACAUAAAUACAUACAUACACUACAAAUAACAAUCAUUCAGUACAAAGUAGGAGAUUGAAAAACAAAGUAAAAAUUUGAAAAAUAAAAUACCUCUUUCACGAAAUCAUCAUCAUCAUUGUC